RNAcentral lists this ribosomal RNA (230 nucleotides) under uncultured bacterium. Its description in RNAcentral is "partial 16S ribosomal RNA". It matches the Rfam family "Bacterial small subunit ribosomal RNA", at positions 524 to 752 of the family's 1533-position model. The record is from RNAcentral.
UACGGAGGAUCCAAGCGUUAUCCGGAAUUACUGGGCGUAAAGAGUUGCGUAGGUGGCAUGGUAAGUUGGUAGUGAAAGCCGUGCGGCUCAACCCGCAUAUACAUUACCAAAACUGCCAAGCUAGAGGACGAGAGAGGUACCUGGAAUCCCAGUGUAGGAGUGAAAUCCGUAGAUAUGGGAGGAACACCGAUGGCGUAGGCAGGGUACUGGCCUCGUCCUGACACUAAGGC